Molecule: long non-coding RNA, 229 nt
Organism: Ipomoea nil (Japanese morning glory)
Lineage: Eukaryota; Viridiplantae; Streptophyta; Magnoliopsida; Solanales; Convolvulaceae
Exons: 2
Source: RefSeq, a predicted model, not a curated record
CUACAUCAGUUAUCACAGGAUCAGGAAUGAAGGGAAAGUUGUUUGAGCAACCCUUAAGCAACGGAGGCUGCCGACAUCAUGCAUCAUUAGUCAUCUGUCAUACCUGAAAGGAAUAUUGCAACAGACUUGAACUUAUCAUCUCUAAUCUGCCUUUUUUGUGUUCUUCAUUAUAAUCUCCAAUCAUUUUCUGUUGAACACUAUUGGAAUGGACUAAUAUUCUUCAAGAUAA